Onychomys torridus (southern grasshopper mouse) is the source of this 771-nucleotide long non-coding RNA. RefSeq lists it as uncharacterized. The record is from RefSeq and is a predicted model, not a curated record. The transcript has 5 exons. Lineage: Eukaryota; Metazoa; Chordata; Mammalia; Rodentia; Cricetidae.
CAGCCAACCCAUGGCGGCCUGGCAGGAAGGGAGCUGGGGGGAUAGAUACUCUAACCUCCUAUUUUCCCAUCCUCUAAUCUCCUGCUGCUGCCUCCCCUUGGCAGAACUCCUUUAGAAGGGAAGAGGGCAAAGGAACCUGCCUGCGGAUGCACCUCACACAAGUCAGCAGAACGGUGGAAGAACGGUGGAGCAGGGGUGGGUGGUGAUGAAGCACAACAUUCAUUACAGCUGGGAUGCAAGAUGACGGUUCUUAGGCACCAUCUGGGCUCAGGCCACAAGAGCUUCUGGGAGUGGUCUGGUAAUAGAUCAGACAACAAUUCCAGGCUAAUUUAUCCAAAUCAAGACCCUCAGUUGGAAAGGCAAAUUCAGUCUCUGGUUCCAGCAAAAUUGGCAUGUAUGUUGAGAGCAUCCAGUUCUGGAGAACUCCUGGCCAACAAGCUCAAGAUUAAUUUCUUAUUGUUCCUCCAAAAUGUUGUGUCUCCAAGAGAUUCCCCUCAACUAUUGUUAGUGGAGGCCUCUAGUCUUUAGUUUUGCCUAACUUUCCCAACUGGGGAUAAAUUUAAGAAAAGAGAAACAAAUAAUGCUGCAAAGAAUUUUCCUGUACAUGUUGUUGAGGGAGUUUUCCAGAGGUGAUGUUAAUAGAGCACAUGGACCAUUCUGCUUCUUUCCUGUUUCUCCACCUCAUCGUUACAGCACCUACCCUCCCCGUGCUGCAAGGCCUGUGUGUAGUGGGUAGCCAUCCCAGCAUUGGCCUGGAAGUUCCAACCCCCA